GCGCGAAAACUUUACAAUGCUGGCAACAGCGAUAAGGGAACCUCGAGUGCCGGGUUACAAAUCUGGCUGUCGAGAUGCCUAAAAAGCAUUUCAUAGCAAGGGCCGGGCAAGACCGGUGCCAGCCGCCGCGGUAACACCGGCGGCUCGAGUGGUAACCGUUAUUAUUGGGUCUAAAGGGUCUGUAGCCGGCCGGAUAAGUCUCUUGAGAAAUCUGGCAGCUUAACUGUCAGGCUUUCAGGAGAUACUGUCUGGCUCGAGGCCGGGAGAGGUGAGAGGUACUUCAGGGGUAGGGGUGAAAUCUUGUAAUCCUUGAAGGACCACCAGUGGCGAAGGCGUCUCACCAGAACGGACCUGACGGCAAGGGACGAAAGCUAGGGGCACGAACCGGA
This 389-nucleotide ribosomal RNA is filed under the name uncultured bacterium. Its description in RNAcentral is "bacterial SSU rRNA". It matches the Rfam family "Archaeal small subunit ribosomal RNA", at positions 339 to 728 of the family's 1478-position model. The record is from RNAcentral.